GUGGGGAAUAUUGGACAAUGGGCGCAAGCCUGAUCCAGCCAUGCCGCGUGAGUGAUGAAGGCCUUAGGGUUGUAAAGCUCUUUCACCGAUGAAGAUAAUGACGGUAGUCGGAGAAGAAGCCCCGGCUAACUUCGUGCCAGCAGCCGCGGUAAUACGAAGGGGGCUAGCGUUGUUCGGAUUUACUGGGCGUAAAGCGCACGUAGGCGGUUUGUUAAGUCAGGGGUGAAAUCCCGGAGCUCAACUCCGGAACUGCCUUUGAUACUGGCAAGCUAGAGUCCGGAAGAGGUAAGUGGAACUCCUAGUGUAGAGGUGGAAUUCGUAGAUAUUAGGAAGAACACCAGUGGCGAAGGCGGCUUACUGGUCCGGAACUGACGCUGAGGUGCGAAAGCGUGGGGAGCAAACAGGAUUAGAUACCCCGGUAGUCC
Molecule: ribosomal RNA, 425 nt
Filed under: uncultured bacterium
Lineage: Bacteria
Description: partial 16S ribosomal RNA
Rfam family: Bacterial small subunit ribosomal RNA
Source: RNAcentral